GUUUGAUCCUGGCUCAGAGCGAACGUUAGCGGCAGGCUUAACACAUGCAAGUCGAGCGAGAAAGGGGCUUCGGCUCCGAGUAAAAGCGGCGGACGGGUGCGUAACACGUGGAUAAUCUGCCUCGUGGCGGGGGACAACAGUCCGAAAGGACUGCUAAUACCGCAUGUCAGGUCGGAAACUCCGGUUUCUGACGAAAAAGAGGGCGCCCGUAAGGGGCUCUCACCACGAGAUGAGUCCGCGUCCCAUCAGCUAGUUGGCGGUGUAAUAGACCACCAAGGCUUAGACGGGUAGCUGGUCUGAGAGGAUGACCAGCCACACUGGGACUGAGACACGGCCCAGACUCCUACGGGAGGCAGCAGUGGGGAAUAUUGGACAAUGGGCGAAAGCCUGAUCCAGCCAUGCCGCGUGAGUGAUGAAGGCCUCGGUCGUAA
This 431-nucleotide ribosomal RNA is filed under the name uncultured bacterium. Its description in RNAcentral is "bacterial SSU rRNA". It matches the Rfam family "Bacterial small subunit ribosomal RNA", at positions 11 to 428 of the family's 1533-position model. The record is from RNAcentral.